RNAcentral lists this long non-coding RNA (25162 nucleotides) under Lathyrus oleraceus (garden pea). RNAcentral's name for it is "Pisum sativum (pea) long non-coding RNA (PSAT_LNC001048)". Lineage: Eukaryota; Viridiplantae; Streptophyta; Magnoliopsida; Fabales; Fabaceae. The record is from RNAcentral.
CUCAAUCUUUAACUUUGCAUUCAUAAGCCAACUUGCAUUUACAAAAGUUUCAUAUACAUAAAUCCAUGAUAAUGCAUUAUACAUUACAAGUUUACAUCCAAAGGAACAUAAAGUAAUGCCUAACAUAAGACACUAUAAACUCAUUAUCCUAUCCUAAUCACAUGGCCCAUGAUAGCAUUAACCAAACCAGAUGCAUUGAUUAUGCAAACAUCAAUUACCAUUUUCCUGCAUUGAGUUCCAAAAGGAGAAUAGCAUGAGCGAACCUUUUCCAACCUGAAAAUCCAUCCAACAGUCCAAGUCAGAAUGUGCUACAAGAAAAUCAUGAAGUUUCAAAGAUGAAUGCAUAACAUAUCCAGUUAAUUUAGUGCAGUUCCCAUCUAGUUUUUCAUAUUAACAUUUUAACCUAACUAACAUUAAUAGAACCAAUGCAAGCAAUCGAGCCCACCUAACUUUUCCUAACAUAUUAAAUGGCUUAAACAUUGCAGAAACAUCAAGGUGAAUACAAUUCUGUAGGAAAUCGAUUCAGUCCAAUAACUCAAAUGAAAUUAACUUUAAAUUCAUUUUCAAAUUAAUCUAUAAACCAAACUCAUUUCAGAUUCAUUUCCAACCAACCCUAACUAACUUUUUGAUCACAUAACUGAUUUCAACAUUUGAGUUUCAUUUGAAGUGAAUUUCAACUGAGUUUAUAAUAGAACCUCAGUAUAUAAAUCCACUUCAUUAUCAUAAGUGCGAAAAAUCACAACAUCACACUCUCUUCUCUCUCGCUGCUAUCUCUUUCAACCUCACUUCAGAGCUCGUUUUCCUCCAUUGUUGCUCAGAGCCUCACCUUGAAGCUCUGAAACAACAAGAGCUAAACCACUCUCAUCUCACGCGCAAUAACAAGAAACUUAUCAAUGCAUAGAGGAAGCAGAAGAAAGAAUAAGAACAAAAGGAAGGAAGAGUGAACGAACCAGAACAUACCUGAAUUCCAUCGUCGUCUUCAGCUUCAUCUUCUUCGGUAGGCUGCUCAAAUUAUUUUCUUCAUUUUACUUCAAAUAUGUUACCGGUGUGUCACUUAGAGGCUAGGAAAUCAGAGCUCCAACCUUUUAGGCUCCAAUUACUCCAGAUCUUAAUUUAAUUUCAUAAUUAGUGAAGGAAAAUUGUGAUCCAAAAUACAGCGAAAAUUAAAAAUUUUCCUUUAGUGAUCCUUACGAAUGAGCAUGAUCAAUGAUCAAAAUUAUUACCUCUUGUGGAGAUUGAAACCUUUGAUGCAUAUCUAAGGAGUGAUCACGAGCGUUGAAUGGUGACAACGCCUCUACUCAGUCCACACGAACGAAUUCCUUCAGUCUCAGCGCUAGCUGCUACGAAUGAAGGCAUUGAUUGAGUGAGAGAGAAAUAAAGCUUCAUCAAGUGAAAUGCUUCUUCACAAGGGUUAUAUUUAUAGAACCACUUGUGUGGGCUGCAAGCUAAAAAGCCCACUUAAGUGUAUGUGGCCCAUAUCUUAUGGUAUACCGAAAAUCACUUAAGCGCGUGGUACCUUAACAUAUUUCGUAUUCUACUUAAGUUCACCGUACCUUACGAUGUUCUACAUUUCACUUAAGUGCACCGUACCUUACGGUGUUCCUUAUUUACUCCAUCUCUCAUCAAUCCGUCCUUUUGUGUGUGACCCUGUAGGUUUUCGUGACAUUGACAAUUAUAUUAAAUCACAUAUUUAACAUAAUAAAUAAUGAGCAGUAUCUAGCAACACAACACUGCUACCCAAGACACGAAAAUGUCAUCUGAUAUGACAAAUCCUUUUUGUGAUAAUACUUGUGUGUAAAAUUACCCUUUUUCCCUUAUGUCUAUAUUGAACACAAGGCAUAGACCGUGUCAUCCUUGUCUAGUUCAAUAUUGGGCCCUUAGACAUUUAUCCUGUUACGCAGGAUGGACAAAUUCCAUCUAGGUCACUCAUGUCCCUCAACAUGCUUCGUGGAGUACCCAUCAACUAUAUUUAUGGUCAUCUAGUUACGAAUAACGUGUGAUCAGCAAUAAAGAACUCGAAUCUACAUCUAGGGUCCAUAGUGGUUUCAGGUCGAAGGGUGGUAUACACCACUGUCACCAUGAGAAUAACUUGUGACACUUUGCAUAACAUUCUAUGUAGUAUUCUCAUAGCGGGUCAAUCUAGUAUAAAUAUUACUCCUAAUAGUCAUACCUAUGUUUAAGACUUGAUAACUCCUUAUCCAUGAUCCAUGAGAUGUGAUCGUAAGUCUAUAUACAUAAUAGUCUUGAUGCUUUAAUGUUAUCCCAGUUUACAAUAAAGCUCGACUAUGGAUACUUUAGGAAUAAUGUCCUUAUGUUUAAUGGGAUCUCAUGAUUAGGUCAGACUUGAUAGAUUAAACGAACUAGCUAUUCUAGGGACUUUAUUAAACAAACAUAAUAAAGAAAAAGGCUUUUAUUUUUAAUAAAUAAUUCGAUACAAGUACAAAAAGUAUUGGCCUUUAGGGCUUACACCAACAAUUAGGACCUAGGGUUAUUCCGUUCUCUUGAUCGAUUAGAGCUUAGGGUUCGGUUUCAUUGAGAAUCAAUGGAGCUUUCGUGGUUAGAUUUAGAAGAGGAAGAUUGUGGUGGCCUCAUUUUUAAUUUCUAGAAAUCUCUCCCGCCGAGGGAUCCUCAGGCACAGUGGAGACAGAUGUGGUAAGUGAGAGAAGGAAGGACAUUUGAAUUUUUUUGAGCUGAGCCAUUCUGAAGAGAUUCCAGAUGCACUUAUACGUUGCAAGCUUCCAUGCGCAUUUAACAUGUGAUUCAUGUGGCUCAAUGUACUGACUCAUUGAUUUCUCAACAUUUAGCCUUAUCUGAUUCAUACACAGUGUUUGGCCAGUACGCCUCCCCAUUAUGCAUUGAAUUUCUUUAGGGCUUUGACACAUAGGGCCCACGCACCCAUUCUGCUUUGCACCCUUGCUUCAGGGCAUGCACCCCAUGUUUUAGCAUAUUUUGUUAAUUUUAUUUUUGAUCAUAUUGUUAAUUGAUUUUUUAGCUUUUUAAUUUUUGUUAAUUAGGCUAAUUAGAGAAUUUUAAUUAGGAUUUAAGUUGAUUAGAAUUAUAGGAAUAAUUAGAAUUUGAAUUUUAAUAUGUGUUAGAAUUAAUGGCUUUUAGAUAGAAAAUUAGAGAUAAUUAGUUUUAAUUAGUUUUUUAAUUUUAGAACUAAUUUCCUAAUUGAUCAUCCAUGUGAAUUGACUUUAUUAGCCCUAAGGUUUAGUCAUAGAAUAUCAUGUUCCCUUAUAUUAGGCUUUGAUUUAGAUUAAUUGAUCAUGUUUAAUCAUUGUUUUUCAUGUGAUAUUUGAUGAUUGAUGAUUUAACUUGAUCCUAAUAUUGGCAUAAUCCCUUAGCUUAGGGUUUAUACAUAUCAUUUGAUUAACCUUUAGGUUAGGUUGUAUAUAAUUAACGAUUAACUAAUUCCUUUGAUUUAUGUAUAUUCCCUCACUCUAUUCAAGUGAUCAAAAGUCCCUUGAUCACUUGAUAUGACUAAUUCCUGUAUUGCUGUGGAUCUCUAGGCCUCAAGUUCAGAUUUGCAUGCAAGGCAUCCUAGAUAAACCAAGCAGUGGAUUAUGCAAGGCACAUCAAAGGCAUUCUUCAAGAGCUUGUAAAUCAAGAUUCAAAUUGUGUGACACGAGCCUUAAGAAAUAUAGAAUAAAUGAGAGUGGAGAAUUCCAUUAACACAUUCUGAAUAUCUUUGGGUACGGGACAAAACCCAGUUGAUCAUUGUAUUUACCUUUAUUCAUAGACUUUAGCAUGAUUUGAAUCAAAUGAUUGCCAAGUCUCCCUUCACAAAGCAAUAAUGCAACAAACAUAAGCCUCUACCAGCAACUUAUCAAUCAUUAUUCAAGUUGUAUGCCAUGAGCCUUAAGUAACAAAGAAUGAUGAGAGUGGAGCAUUCUUAUCAUUGUCUAGGAUAUCCUUGGGUACGAGACGAAUGACCCAGUUGCUCAAGGUAUUCACAUUUAUUCAUAGACUUUAGUGCAAUUUGAAUCAAAUGAUUGAUAAAGUAUUCAUCAUGAUAAGGAGAAACAAGGAUUCUUCCUCAACAACUUUAAAGUUAUGAUGAGAAUCACAUGCCAUGAGCCUUAAUUAGUAAAGAAUGAAUGAGAGUAGAGAAUUCCAUUAACUUAUUCUGAAUAUCUUUGGGUACAAGACAAAUGACCCAGUUGUUCAUUGUAUUCACCUUUACUCAUAGACUUUAGCAUGGUUCAUAUUAAAUGAUUUUAGAGUCUCCUUCAUCUUUCAUUAUCAUAUAUCAUUUCUCUUGCCUCAGUUUCUUGCAGUCUUUGUUCCGGCCGUAGUGAGCCAAAUUACGGAGCUCUGACUUUCUCAUUGAACAAUAAGAACACGUAGGCACGAGGAUUCAGAUUCUCCGCGAGCUACCCUAUUUAUGAAUCCUACCAUAUUUAUUAUUCUUCAUCAAUCAAUACCAUCCUUUUGGAACCAAAUACCUUAUCCCUUUGGAUUCCAUGCAUAUCCUUUUAGGACAAUUUAAUCGAACUCCACCUUGUAAACCCAUAGUUGUUUGUCUCGUCGGCAAACACCUAAUUCCAUUGUUUUUUGUCAUUCCAAUAUAGUGGUAUGAUGCCUCUGGGCCUCAUAUCUUGGUUUGUACCUUCUUUUCUCUUUGAUUCAGAGUUUAUUCCUUCAUGUAUCGAAUAUACCAUUCUUUUGGUUUCAAAUUAUUUAUUCCCUACAGUGAUAUAUUGUUCCUUGUACCAAACAUAUUUCUCCUUUAAGUCCCAUGCCUAUCCUUUUAGGGAAAUUCGAAUGCCUAUCUUGUGAACCAAGAGAUGUUUGUCUUGAUGCCAAACACCUAAUUCCUUUGUUUAUGGUCAUGAUAAUACAGUGGUGUGAUUCCUCUGGCCCCCCACAUCUUAGUAUGUACCUCAUUUACUAUUUGGUUCAAAGUUCAUUUACCUUUAUGGUUUCCCAAGCUACCAUUCUCUUUUGGUGCAAGUUAUACUUUUCAUCACCUUUCAAUCUCUAUUCUCUUUAUUUCCGUAAUUCCACGAACUACAGAGCUCUGACUUUCUCAUUGCACGGUGAGAAUAUGUAGGCACGAGGAUGCGAAUCCUUAGCGAGCACAUUCCUAUUUAUUCCUCUUUCUCCUGCCUUAAGGCACCAUUCAUAUCUUUCACGAUCCAACAUUUAUCUUCAAUCACCAACCAUUCACCCCAGUGACAUACUUACUUUCUUUGGAACCAAAUACCAUUUUCUUUAGAAUUUCUGUAGGUGUUUAAUUGGCUGCAUUAUAUGGUAAAACACUAAUGUCUUGACUGAUGUCAAGACAUGUAUAUGUGACUACAUUGUAGUUACUGCAGGACUAGCUAACACAGGAUUAUUGAAUGCUGUGACAUUCAUACCUGUCAACAGAUACUAAGGAACAGAAGUUCUGUUAGAACUUAGUAUUCAUGGGGGGGGGGGGGGGGGGGGGGGGGGGGGGGGGGGACAGAAAAGGAAGGGGGAAUUCUUUUUUUUUUUUAAACCAAAUUUACAGCCCCCUAAAUUUUUUGUUAGCAACCUAAAUGUUGGAAUUUGGAGGACCUUGUGUGACCUAAAUUUUCAGGAAAAAUACAAGGUGCAAAGCCCAGGUGCUGCAAUAUAAAAGGAAGCAUUCUUCUUCAGUUUCGGGAUUUUGAAGCGUGAAGUGUCAGUGUGUCCAUCAUACUUACUCUUGUAUUUUGUGGUCUUGUAUUAGACGUAUCCUUUGUAAGCCAAGCCAUUAUCAGUAGAUGAUUGCUUUGGCAUAGGGUGUUCAUUGAGUUGUAAGUGUUGUGUCACUCAAAGCUUUAGCGUGAGUGCUGGUGUAUCUUGAUUUAGCUGUGAAGCAUAAUCAAGGUUGUUUUUGAAGUGUGAUUCAAAGUGUCUUUAAUAUCACUGAGGUGAUUGAGGGGGAGUGAGUAGGAACUCUGAUCUUAGGUUAAGAUUGAAAUGCAUUGGUAGGGAUUAAGUGAUAAGUUGUAACGGGUGAGUUUAGCUUUGAAUUGAUACUACUAAUAGUGGAUUUCUCCCUGGCUUGGUAGCCCCCAGAUGUAGGUCAUGUUGGACUGAACUGGGUGAACAAUUACUUGUGUUAUUUACUGCACUUACUGUUAAGUUCUGCAUAAUCCUGUCUGUGCAGAUUGGAUGUCAUACAACACAGUGUGAAUCCAAAGUCUGAUAACUAGAAUUUCAGUUGGCAUCAGAGCAGGCACCCUGCCUGUGAAGUUCUGGGUGAGAUCUAGGGAAGUUACUUUCUUAGUACAUGGACAAGGAAUUUGGAACUCAAAUAGACCACCCAUGUUGGAUGGAUCUAAUUAUGAUGACUGGAAGCCUCGCAUGAUAGCCUUCUUAAGGUCUCUAGACAGCAAAGUCUGGAGAGCUGUCAACAAGGGAUGGGAACAUCCAACGAGGACUGAUGAAGAUGGAGUCAAGUGGCAGAUUCCCGAGAAGAUUGGACAGAGGAACAAGAGGCAUUAGCUCUUGGAAACUCCCAAAGCCUUGAAUGGCAUUGUUCAAUGGAAUCACUAAGACAUCUUCAGGCUGGUGCACCAUUGUGAACUAGCUAAGGAAGUUUGGGAUAACUCAAGGUAACUCAUGAAGGACUUCCAAGGUGAAAGAUGUCCAAACUUCAAAUGUUGACAACCAAGUUUGAAAUCUGAGGAUGAAGCAGGAUGAGACUAUCAUGACUUUCACAUGAAUAUUCUGAAAUUGCAAACACCUCUGGUGGACUAGGUGAGAAAAUGACUGAAGGAAACUUGUAAGAAAGAUUCUCAGGUCCUUGCCUAAGAGGUUGCUAUGAAGGUCACUGCAAUAGAGGAGGCUCAGGACAUCAGCAAUAUGAAGGUAGAUAGCUCAUUGUUUCUCUCAAAACCUUUGAAAUGGGCUUAGGUGAGUAUGCUGAGAAGCAAGAAAGAUAGCUUUAUAUAAUGCUGAAGAGGAGUCAGAAGAGGAUUGCAGGAGGUGAUGAAGUAUUCAAAGCUAGCAUGUGGAGCAUUCAACAAGUCAUGAAGAGAUUGACAAAGAGGUAGACUAAUGUCAAGAACCGUCUGACAUUAAGAAAGAUCACUUUCGAGGAGAAGUUCAACCAUGGAAGGGAAUCCAGUGGUCAGGUGUGAGGGUAUGGAAGUCAAGAGCUGAAUGCCUACCUUACCUCAAAUUGCAAAAUAAGGGGCUAGUAUACAUGGUCUGAAGGAAGAUUCCUGAAAGUGAAUCUGAAGGAGAAUCUGCCAACAUGGUCAUGGCACUAACCAGUGUGUUGUGUUCGAAGAUGAACAGAAGUGCAGAUUAGCUGACAUUUGAUGAACUUGCUGCACAUACUAAGAAGCUGUGUACCACCAGUGCAGAAGUGCGGUGCACAAGGGAAAAGCAGAAGAAACUCAUCAAGGAAAUGGAAAGAUGAGAGACAGAAGCAACUGUCUGCAUAGAGGGCUAAAUGAUGAGAUAGCCUUCUGACCUCCAAGCUGAACCAGAUGACGUAAACCCAUCAGAAUGAUGAAUAAGGGAACUGACACUUGGAAGAAAUUCUAAAGGUGGGACAGCAGUCCUGGAACCAAUCUCGGGCUAGGAUUUGGAAAAGAAUUGAACACAAAGCCCAAGGCUAGAGUUCGACCGUUCAAACAGAUGUCAAGCAAUGUCUCAACAUCAAGGAGCUAGGAUGAAUGAUAUCAGAAGAGGAAAUACCAGAUUGGAGUGUCACCACUGUGGCAGGCUUGGUCAUAUAAAAGCGCUUCUGCUACUGGAUUCAUGGCUUCCCUAACAGAGCUCACCUGUCAGACCUAAGCAUAAAACGUAAGCGAUGUGUUCCCAUUAAGAAGCAACAAUGGUAUGCUAGGAUAGCACACACUGCCCUAGGAGGCUUCUUCCAGAGAAGACUGGUACUUGACAGUGGAUGCUCAAGACAUAUGAUGGUAUGGAAAAUCUAACUAGUAGAUAUUCAACCUCACCACCAGCUAUGUGACUUUUGGUGAUGGUGCCAAAGGAAAAAUAAGAGGUGUGGGCAAACUGGACUGUUCUGGAAGUGCCAAAACGUGAACCAUUGUGCUGUUAGUAAGAGGACUAACUGCAAACCUCAUCAGCAUAAGUAGCUUGUGUGAUCAAGGUUUUCAUGUUCAGUUUACUCAGGAGUGUGCAUUGUGACAAAUGGUGACAAUCAGGAAGUUAUGAGAGGAACCAGGUCCAAAGACAACUGCUACCUGUGGGACCUGAUCUCUCUAACUUUUCCACAACAUGCUCCCUCAGCCAAGGAGAACAGGAGGUGAAAGCUGUGGCAUAAGAAGACUUGGAUCUCCACUAUAGGGGAAUGAAGAAGAUCAUAUCCAAGGAAGCAGUCAGAGGAAUGCCAAAGCUUCUGAUUGAUGAAGGAAGAGUCUGUGAGAAUGCCCAAUGGGCAAGCAAAACCAAGAUGUCAACCCAAAGCCUGGGACAUUCCACAACCUCCAGAGUUUCUGGAGCUGCUGCACAUGGACCUAAUGGGACCUAUGCAGGUUGAAAGUCUUGGUGGGAAGAGUAUGCCUACGUGGUGGUUGAUACAUUCCAGAUACACGUGGAUAAGCUUCAUCAGAGAGAAGUCAGAUACAUUGAUGUCUUCAAGAUCUGUGCUAGACUUCAAGGGAAAAGGACAGUUGUGUGGUCCGGAUUAGAAGUGAUCAUGGUACUGAAUUCAAGAUUCCAAGUUUUGAUGAGUUUUGCUCAUUUGAAGGAAUAAGCCAUGAGUUCUCCUCCCCUAUAACUCGUCAGCAGAAUGGAAUAGUUGAAAGAAAAACAGAACUAUUCAAGAAUCUGCCAGAGAAUGAUUCAUGCAAGAAGCUUCUUAUGCACUUUUGGGCUGAAGCAUGACACGCGUGCUAUGUUCACAGACAGAGUCCCUUGAGAAAAGGACCUCUCCACCUCUGUAUGAAUAUGGAAGGGCAGAAACCCACUGUGAAGUACUUUCUAUUUUUGGAAGUAAAUGUUACCAUUCUCAAGAUCGGUGAACAGAAGAGGAAGCUAGAUUCCAAAAAGUGAUGAAGGCGUAUUUCUGGGAAUACUCACUAACGCAGAGCCCUAUAGAGUGUUCAACCACAGGACCAAUGUCCUGAUGGAGUCCAUAAAUGUCAUUGUGGAUGAUAAAGAGGAGGAACCGAUGUAUGGAGGAUGUUGAAACAUUCCUUGACCGUCCAACUGACAGUCCAGUCAAGCCUGAAGAGUAGGAACCUUCUCCUGAAUGUGAAGUAGAAGCACCACCAAAGUGCCAUCUAUCAGAAUUCAGAAAGACCACCCUAAGGAUCUUAUACUAGGGGAUCCCAACCAGUGGUGUAAACUACCAGGUCAACGAGGAAUAAACUCACAAUUCCUGCUUUGUUUCCAAGGUUGAACCAAAGAAUGUGAAAGAAGCCCUGACUGAUGAAUACUGGAUCAUUGCCAUGCAAGAGGACUCGAGCAGUUCACAAGGCAUGAUAGUUAUGGAGCUGGUUCCAAGACCUGAAGGUCCAACAUCAUUGGUACCAAGUGGAUCUACAAACAAAUCUGAUGAGAAGGAGUAAUUACUAGAAAUAAAGCAAGCUAGUAGCUCAGGAUACACUCAAGUGAAGGAGUAGACUUUGAUGAGACAUUUGCUCCUGUGGCUAGACUUGAGUCCAUCAGAUUGCUGUUGGGGGUAGCAUGCAUCCUGAAGUUUAAGCUGUUCCAAAUGGAUUGUAGAGUGCAUUCUUGAAUGGCUACCUGAUGAAAGAAGUCUAUGUGGAACAACCAAAGGGUUCUGUGAUCCUAACCACCUGAGCAUGUAUACAAGUUGAAGUAAAGCUUGUAUGGGUGACGCAAACACCCAGAGCUUGGUAUGAAAGGUUAACCGAAUUUCUGACCUCAAAUGGAUACAGAAAGGGUGGCUAGAUAACCUUGUUUGUGAAGGAUGAAGAAGCAAAAUCAUGAUAGCUCAAAUUAUGUUGAUGAUAUAAUCUUUGGUGGAAUGUCAGAACAAAUGGUUAAAAUUUGUUCACCAGAUGCAGUCUGAGUUUGAAAUGAGUCUAGUGGGAGAACUGACCUUUCCUUGGAAUGCAAGUAAACCAAUGGAGGACUCUAUGUUUUCUCCCAAAGCAAGUAUGCAAGAACUAGUUAAGAAGUUGGUAUGGAUCAAUGCCAGGCACAAGAGGAACUCCUGCCCUACUCAUCUGAAGUUAACCAAAGAUGAUGGAGGGCCUUGUAUUGAUCAAUGCCUGUACAGAAGCAUGAUAGGUAGUCUGCUGUAUCUAACUGCAAGUAGACCUGACAUUUCCUAUGCAGUUGGAGUGUGUGCCAGAUACCAAGCAGAGCCCAGGUGAGCCACUUGAAUCAAGUCAAAGGAUUCUCAAGUAAUCAAUGGGACGUGUGACUAUGGGAUGCUGUAUUCACAUGGGUCUAAGCCUGUCCUAUCUGGGUACUGUGAUGCUGAUUGGGCUGGAAGUGCUGAUGACAGAAAAGCACAUCAGGUGGAUGUUUCUUCUUAGGAGAAAACCUCAUAUCGUGGUUCAGCAAGAAGCAGAACUGUGUCUCUCUGUCCACUGCAGAGGCCUGAAUACAUAGCUGCUGGAAGCGUUUGCUCCAACUGUUUGGAUGAAACAAAUGCUCACUGAGUACAAUGUCACUCAAAAUGUUAUGACAUUGUUCUGUGAUAAUCUCAGUGCCAUCAACAUCUCCAAGAAUCCCAUCCAACAAGCGGACCAAACUAUUGACAUUAGGCACCACUUCAUCAGAGAUCUGGUGGAAGACAAGGUGAUCACUUUGGAACAUGUAGCCACGGAUCUUCAACUGGCUGACAUAUUUACAAAGGCUCUUGGAUGCUACUCAGUUUGAAAACUAAGGAGCAAACUGGGAAUAUGUCUCUUCUGAGACCUUAUAGCAACCAGUGAUGUUUGGGAUAAAUUGUUUAUAUCUCUGCUAUAUUAACACAAUUUGUACUAGGCUAUGAUUGGUCAACAGAUCAUAGCUAUGCUGCUUGCAACAAGGGUGGAUACAAGAGGGUAAGGAGACACCCUACAGAGAGAAGGCCACUGUACCUGAAGGAGUUCAGGAUGCUGUUCAUGCAGGAGUGGUUCUGGAUGUCAAGAAACAAUCAUGGAUCUGAUAUGGUGGUACCUCUGUAAGCAAAAGUGGGUGAUCACUUGAUCGAAGCUGUGAAGCAAGAUCAAGUGGAUGUUAACUUUGUUUAAACAGUGAAGUAAAACCAGUCUGGAACUCUGUCAUUGUGCUCUGACUAUGUUGUUGGCUUUGGCAAAUUUGUGACAAAAGGGGGAGCAAUAACCACAAUACCCCUGACAAACAGAGUGGGUCUCUACAACAGACUCUCAUGACAGAUCUGAGAAUUCCCCCCUGCAGCUGAUGUUGAAGUUUAGGUGCAAUUCUAAUUAUGUGUGUGCUGCUAUGCGAAGUUUUAUUUAACUUCCAUGUGUGUGAGUGGUGCUGCCACUCUGAGUGUAUUAGCCAGUAGUAUUCCGCUGCCAUGAACUCUGUUAUGGGAUCAAGUGUUUUAUCAUCAUUAUUCAGUUGUAUGCCAUGAGCCUUAAGUAACAAAGAAUGAUGAGAGUGGAGCAUUCUUAUCAUUGUCUAGGAUAUCCUUGGGUACGAGACGAAUGACCAGUUGCUCAAGGUAUUCACAUUUAUUCAUAGACUUUAGUGCAAUUUGAAUCAAAUGAUUGAUAAAGUAUUCAUCAUGAUAAGGAGAAACAAGGAUUCUUCCUCAACAACUUAAAAGUUAUGAUGAGAAUCACAUCCAUGAGCCUUAAUUAGUAAAGAAUGAAUGAGAGUAGAGAAUUCCAUUAACUUAUUCUGAAUAUCUUUGGGUACAAGACAAUGACCAGUUUGUUCAUUGUAUUCACCUUUACUCAUAGACUUUAGCAUGGUUCAUAUUAAAUGAUUUUCGAGUCUCUUCAUCUUUCAUUAUCAUAUAUCAUUUCUCUUGCUCAGUUUCUUGCAGUCUUUGUUCCGGCCGUAGUGAGCCAAUUACGGAGCUCUGACUUUCUCAUUGAACAAUAAGAACACGUAGGCACGGGAUUCAGAUUCUCCGCGAGCUACCCUAUUUAUGAAUCCUACAUAUUAUUAUUCUUCAUCAAUCAAUACCAUCCUUUUUGGAACCAAUACUUAUCCUUUGGAUUCCAUGCAUAUCCUUUUAGGACAAUUUAAUCGAACUCCACCUGUAAACCAUAGUUGUUUGUCUCGUCGGCAACACUAAUUCCAUUGUUUUUUUGUCAUUCCAAUAUAGUGGUUAUGAGCUGCUGGGCCUCAUAUCUUGGUUUGUACCUUCUUUUCUCUUUGAUUCAGAGUUUAUUCCUUCUGUAUCGAAUAUACCAUUCUUUUGGUUUCAAAUUAUUUAUUCCCUACAGUGAUAUAUUGUCCUUGUACAACAUAUUUCUCCUUUAAGUCCCAUGCCUAUCCUUUUAGGGAAAUUCGAAUGCCUAUCUUGUGAACCAAGAGAUGUUUGUCUUGAUGCCAAACACCUAAUUCUUUGUUUAUGGUCAUGAUAAUAAGUGGUGUGAUUCCUCUGGCCCCCCACAUCUUAGUAUGUACCUCAUUUACUAUUUGGUUCAAAGUUCAUUUACCUUUAUGGUUCCCAAGCUACCAUUCUCUUUUUGGUGCAUUUAUACUUUUCAUCACCUUUCACUCUAUUCUCUUUAUUUCCGUAAUUCCACGAACUACAGAGCUCUGACUUUCUCAUUGCACGGUGAGAAUAUGUAGGCACGAGGAUGCGAAUCCUUAGCGCACUUCUAUUUAUUCCUCUUUCUCCUGCCUUAGGCACCAUUCAUAUCUUUCACGAUCCAACAUUUAUCUUCAAUCACCAACCAUUCACCCCAGUGAACAUACUUACUUUCUUUGGAACCAAAUACCAUUUUCUUUAGAAUUUCUGUAGGUGUUUAAUUGGGCUGCAUUAUAUGGUAAAACACUAUGUCUUGACUGAUGUCAAGACAUGUAUAUGUGACUACAUUGUAGUUACUGCAGGACUAGCUAACACAGGAUUAUUGAAUGCUGUGACAUUCAUACCUGUCAACAGAUACUAAGGACAGAAGUUCUGUUAGAACUUAGUUUCAUUUGCAGUCUGGUUAUCAGGAAGAACCAGACCUGGCAUAAGGCCUACUGACUGAAUGUCAAACUGGAUGUUGUGACAUUCAUCAUUGACAGCAGCUACUGAAGAUUAGCAGAGUGGUGUUCUGCUAUACUUCAGCAUAAACUUAGUUUUGUUCUUCAAGAGAAUAACAGAACUAACUUAAGGCCAAUGUAUAAAUGUUAAGUUGGACACUUUGACAUUUAUUAAUGUAAGCUGUUACUGUAGUACGGUCAUUUUGAUCAUGUACAGGUCAGCAAAUUGUACAGUCUGUUUUCUAGAAAAACAGACUCAGCAUAUGGACCUUGAUGUCAAGCUGAAUGUCGUGACAUUCGUGCCUGACAGCAUAUGCUAAUUGUAGGUGUUUCAGUUUUCUGUUUCAGCUUUUUCUCAGGCUAUUCUUUAGGGAUUCACACAGCUGAGAGAAAAUCAGGAAAUCACAACCAAGCUACAUUCAAUGCACUAACAAUAGCCUAUUUGUUAGCAACCUAAAUGUUGAAUUUGAGGGAACCUGUGUGACCUAAAUUCAGGAAAUACGGUGCAAAAGCCAGGUGCUGCAAUAUAAAAGGAAGACAUUCCUUCAUUCAGUUUCGGGGAUUUUGAAGCGUGAAGUGUCAGUGUGUCCAUCAUACUUCACUGCUGUAUUUUGUGAGUCUUGUAUUAGACGUAUCUUGUAAGCCAGCCAUUAUCAAGUAGAUGAUUGCUUUGGCAUAGGGUGUUCAUUGAGUUGUAAGUGUUGUGUCACUCAAAGCUUUUAAGCGUGAGUGCUGUGUAUCUUGAUUUAAGCUGUGAAGCAUAAUCAGAGUUGUUUUUGAAGUGUGACUUCAAAGUGUCUUUAAUAUCACUGAGGUGAUUGAGGGGAGUGAGUAGGAACUCUGAUCUUAGGUUAAGAUUGAAAUUGCAUUGGGUAGGGAUUAAGUGAUAAGUUGUAAACGGGUGAGUUUAGCUUUGAAUUGAUACUACUAAUAGUGGAUUCCCUCCUGGCUUGGUAGCCCCCAGAUGUAGGUCAUGUUGGACUGAAACUGGGUGAACAAUUACUUGUGUUAUUUNGUCAUUUGCAGUCUGGUUAUCAAGGAAGAACAGACUGGCAUAAGGCUACUGACUGAAUGUCAACUGGAUGUUGUGAUUCAUCAUUGACAGCAGCUACUGAGAUUAGGCAGAGUGGUGUUCUGCUAUACUUCAGCAUAAAACUUAGUUUGUUCUAAGGAAUAACAGAAUAACUUAAGGCCAAAUGUAUAAAAUGUUGUUGGACACUUUGCAUUUAUUAAUGUAAGCUGUUACUGUAGUCGGUCAUUUUGAUAUGUACAGGUCAGCAAAUUGUACAGUCUGUUUUCUAGAAAAACAGACUCAGCAUAUGGACUUGAUGUCAAGCUGAAUGUCGUGACAUUGUCCUGACAGCAUAUGCUAAUUGUAGGUUGUUCAGUUUUCUGUUUCAGCUUUUUUCUCAGGCUAUUCUUUAGGAUUCAACAGCUGAGAGAAAUCCAGGAAAUCACACCAAGCUACUUCAAUGAACCUAAAAUAGCCUAUUUGUUAGAACCUAAAUGUUGAAUUGGAGGGAACUGUGUGACCUAAAUUCAGGAAAUACAGGUGCAAAGCCAGGUGCUGCAAUAUAAAAGGAAGGCAUUCCUUCAUUCAGUUUCGGGGAUUUUGAAGCGUGAAGUGUCAGUGUGUACAUACUUCACUGCUGUAUUUGUGAGUCUUGUAUUAGACGUAUCUUGUAGCCAAGCCAUUAUCAAGUAGAUGAUUGCUUUGGCAUAGGGUGUUCAUUGAGUUGUAAGUGUUGUGUCACUCAAAGUUUUUUAAGCGUGAGUGCUGUGUAUCUUGAUUUAAGCUGUGAAGCAUAAUCAAGAGUUGUUUUUGAAGUGUGACUUCAAAGUGUCUUUAAUAUCACGAGGUGAUUGAGGGGGAGUGAGUAGGAACUCUGAUCUUAGGUUAAGAUUGAAAUGUGCAUGGGUAGGGAUUAAUGAUAAGUUUGUAACGGGUGAGUUUAGCUUUGAAUUGAUACUACUAAUGUGGAUUUCCUCCCUGGCUUGGUAGCCCCCAGAUGUAGGUCAUGUUGGACUGAACUGGGUGAACAAUUACUUGUGUUAUUUACUGCACUUACUGUUAAGUUCUGCAUAAUCCCUGUCUGUGCAGAAUUGGAUGUCAUAACAACCAGUGUGACAUCCAAAGUCUGAUAACUAGAAUUUCAGUUGGCAUAAGAGCAGGCACCCUGCCUGUGAAGUUCUGGGUGAGAUCUAGGGAAGUUACUUUCUAGUACAUGGACAAGGAUUUAGGACACUCAAAUAGACCACCCAUGUUGGAUGGAUCUAAUUAUGAUGACUGGAAGCUCGCAUGAUAGCCUUCUUAAGGUCUCUAGACAGCAGUCUGGAGAGCUGUCAACAAGGGAUGGGAACAUCAACGAGGACUGAUGAAGAUGGGUCAGUGUGCAGAUUCCGAAGAAGAUUGGACAAGGAACAAGAGGCAUUAGCUCUUGGCAAACUCCAAAGCCUUGAAUGCAUUGUUCAAUGGAAUCACUAAGACAUCUUCAGGCUGGUGCACCAUUGUGAACUAGCUAAGGAAGUUUGGGAUACCUCAAGGUAACUCAUGAAGGUAUUCCAAGGUGAAGAUGUCCAACUUCAAAUGUUGACAACAAGUUUGAAAUCUGAGGAUGAAGAGGAUGAGACUAUUCAUGACUUUCACAUGAAUAUUCUUGAAUUGCAAACACCUCUGGUGGAUAGGUGGAAAAUGACUGAAGAGAAACUUGUAAGAAAGAUUCUCAGGUCUUGCCAAGAGGUUUGCUAUGAAGGUACUGCAAUAGAGGAGGCUCAGGACAUCAGCAAUAUGAAGGUAGAUGAGCUCAUUGGUUCUCUCCAAACCUUUGAAAUGGGCUUAGGUGAGUAUGCUGAGAAGAAGAAAGCAUAGCUCUUUAUAUCAAAUGCUGAAGAGGAGUCAGAAGAAGGAUAUGCAGGAGGUGAUGAAAGUAUUAAAGCCUUAGCAUGUUGGGAGGCAAUUCAACAAGUUCAUGAGAAGAUUGAUCAAAGAGGUAGACUCUAAUGUCAAGAAUCCCGUCUGACAUUAAGAAAGAUCAACUUUGAGGAGAAGUUCAACAUGGAAGGGAAUCCAGUGUCAGGCUGUGAAGGGUAUGGACACGUCAGAGCUGAAUGCCUACUUACCUCAAAUGCAAAAUAAGGGCUAGCUAUCACAUGGUCUGAAGGAGAUUCUGAAAGUGAAUCUGAAGGGAAUCUGCCAACAUGUCACUGCACUAACCAGUGUGUGUGUCUCUGAAGAUGAACAAGUGCAGAUGAGCUGACAUUUGAUGAACUUGCUGACAUAUAAGAAGCUGUGUACCACCAGUGCAGAAGUGCGUGCACAAGGAGAAAAGCAGAAGAAACUCAUCAAGGAACUGGAAGAUGAGAGACAGAAGCAACUGUCUGCCAUAGAGGGCUAAAUGAUGAGAUAGCCUUCUGACCUCCAAGCUGACAGAUGAAAACCCAUCAGAAUGAUGAAUAAGGGAACUGACACUUGGAAGAAAUUCUAAAGGUGGGACAGCAGUCUGGAACCAAAUCUGGGCUAGGAUUUGGAAAAAGAAUUGAACACAAAGCCCAAAGGCUAGAGUUCAGAGUUCAAACAGAUGUCAAGCAAUGUCUCAACAUCAAGGAGCUAGGAUGAUGAUAUCAGAAGAGGAAAUACCAGAUUUGGAGGUGUCACCACUGUGGCAGGCUUGGUCUAUAAAAGCCUUCUGCUACUGGAUCUGGCUUCCCUAACAGAGCUCACCUGUCAGACCUAGCAUAAAACACGUAAGCGAUGUGUCCAUUAAGAAGCAACAAUGGUAUGCUAGAUAGCAACACACUGCCCUAAGGGCUUCUUCAGAGAAGACUGGUACUUUGACAGUGGAUGCUCAGAGAAUAUGAUGGUAUGGAAAAUCUCAACUAUAGAUAUUCAACCUCAACCACAGCUAUGUGACUUUUGGUGAUGGUGCCAAAGGAAAAAUAAGAGGUGUGGGCAAACUGGACUGUUCUGGAAGUGCCAAUAACUGAACCAUGUGCUGUUAGUAGAGGAUAACUGAAACCUCAUCAGGCAUAAGUCAGCUUGUGUGAUCAAGGUUUUAUGUUCAGUUUAUCUAGGAGAGUGCAUUGGGACAAAUGGUGACAAUCAGGAAGUUAUGAGAGGAACACAGGUCCAAAGACAACUGCACCUGUGGGAACCUGAUCUCCUAAGCUUUUCCCACAUAGCUCCCUAGCACAAGGAGAACAGGAGGUGAAGCUGUGGCAUAGAAGACUUGGACAUCUCCACUUACGGGGAAUGAAGAAGAUCAUAUCCAAGGAAGCAGUCGAGGAAUGCAAAGCUUCUGAUUGAUGAGGAGAGUUGUGAGAAAUGCCCAAUGGGCAAGCAAACCAAGAUGUCACCCAAAGCUGGGACAUUCCACAACCUCAGAGUUUCUGGAGCUGCUGGACAUGGACCUAAUGGGACCUAUGCAGGUUGAAAGUCUUGGGGAGAAGUAUGCCUACGUCGGUGUUGAUACAUUCCAGAUACAGUGGAUAAGCUUCAUCAGAGAGAAGUCAGCAUAUUUUGAUGUCUUCAAAGAUCUGUGCUAGACUUCAAGGAAAAGGACAGUUGUGUGGUCCGGAUUAGAAGUGAUCAUGGUACUGAAUUCAAGAUUCAAGUUUUGAUGAGUUUUGCUAUUUGAAGGAAUAAGCCAUGAGUUCUCUCCCCUAUAACUCCUCAGCAGAAUGGAAUAGUUGAAAGAAAAACAGAACUAUUCAAGAUCUGCCAGAGCAAUGAUUCAUGCACGAAGCUUCUUAUGCACUUUUGGGCUGAAGCAUGAUACACGCGUGCUAUGUUCAAACAGAAGGUCCCACUUGAGAAAAGGAUCCCUCCACUUGUAUGAAUAUGGAAGGGCAGAAACCCUGUGAAGUAUACUUUCAUAUUUUUGGAGUAAAUGUUACCAUUCUCACAGAUCGGUGAACAGAGGAGGAAGCUAGAUUCCAAAACGUGAUGAAGGCGUAUUUCUGGGAAUACUCACUAACAGCAGAGCCUAUAGAGUGUUCAACACAGGACCAAUGUCCUGAUGGAGUCCAUAAAUGUUUGUGGAUGAUAAAGAGGAGGAACCGAUGUAUGGAGGAUGUUGAAACAUUCCUUGACAGUCCAACUGACAGUCAGUCAAGCCUGAAGAAGUAGGAACUUCUCUGAAUGUGAAGUAGAAGCACCACCAAAGUGCCAUGCUAUCAGAAUUGCAAGACCACCCUAAGGAUCUUAUCAUAGGGAUCCCACAGUGGUGUAACUACGGUCAAAGAGGAAUAAACUCCAAAUUCCUGCUUUGUUUCCAAGGUUGAACAAAGAAUGUGAAAGAAGCCCUGACUGAUGAAUACUGGAAUUGCCAUGCAAGAGGACUCGAGCAGUUCACAAGGCAUGGACUGUGAUGGGCAGCUGGUUAAGACCUGAAGGUCCACAUCAUUGGUACAAGUGGAUCUACAAACAUCUGAUGAGAAGGAGUAAUUACUAGAAAUAAAGCAAGCUAAGUAGCUCAGGAUAUCACAAGUGAAAGGAGUAGACUUUGAUGAGACAUUUGCUCCCUGUGGCUAGACUUGGAGUCCAUCAAAUUGCUGUUGGGGGUAGCAUGCAUCCUGAAGUUUAAGCUGUUCCAAAUGGAUGUGAAGAGUGCAUUCUUGAAUGGCUACCUGAUGAAGAAGUCUAUGUGGAACAACCAAAGGGUUCUGUGAUCCUAACACCUGAGCAUGUAUACAAGUUGAAGUAAAGCUUGUAUGGGUGAAGCAAACACCCAGAGCUUGGUAUGAAAGGUUAACCGAAUUUCUGACCUCAAAUGGAUACAGAAAGGGUGGCUAGAUAACCUUGUUUGUGGAAGAUGAAGAAGCAAAAUCAUGAUAGCUAAAUUAUGUUGAUGAUUAAUCUUUGGUGGAAUGUCAGAACAAAAUGGUUAAAUUUGUUCACAGAUCAUCUGAGUUUGAAAUGAGUCUAGUGGGAGAACUGACCUUUUCCUUGGAAUGCAAGUAAACCAAAUGGAGGACUCUAUGUUUCUCUCCAAAGCAAGUAUGCAAGAACUAGUUAAGAAGUUGGUAUGGAUCAUGCCAGGCACAAGAGGAUUGCUCCUGCUCCUACUCAUCUGAAGUUAACCAAAGAUGAUGGAGGGCCUAAGUAUUGAUCAAUGGCCUGUAACGAAGCAUGAUAGGUAGUCUGCUGUAUCUAUGCAAGUAGACGCCAUUUCUAUGCAGUUGGAGUGUGUGCCAGAUAACAGCAGAGCAAGGUGAGCCACUUGAAUCAAGUCAAAGGAUUCUCAGUACUCAAUGGGACGUGUGACUAUGGGAUGCUGUAUUCACAUGGUCUAGCCUGUCCUAUCUGGGUACUGUGAUGCUGAUUGGGCUGGAAGUGCUGAUGACAGAAAAGCACAUCACGGUGGGAUGUUUCUUCUUAGGAGAAACCUCAUAUCGUGGUUCCAGCAAGAAGCAGAACUGUGUCUCUCUGUCCAUGCAGAGGCCUGAAUACAUAGCUGCUGGAAGCAGUUUGCUCCAACUGUUUGGAUGAACAAAAUGCUCACUGAGUACAAUGUCACUCAAAUGUUAUGACAUUGUUCUGUGAUAAUCUCAGUGCCAUCAACAUCUCCAAGAUCCACAAACAUAGCGGACCAAACAUAUUGACAUUAGGCACCACUUCAUCAGAGAUCUGGUGGAAGACAAGGUGAUACUUUGGAACAUGUAAGGAUCUUCAACUGGCUGACAUUAUUUACAAAGGCUCUUGGAUGCUACUCAGUUUGAAACUUAAGGAGCAAACUGGGAAUAUGUCUCUCUGAGACAUUAUAGCAACCAUGAUGUUUGGGAUAAAUUGUUUAAUCUUGCUAUUAACAAUUUGUACUAGGCUAUGAUUGGUCAACAGAUCAUAGCUAUGCUGCUUGCAACAAGGGUGGAUACAAGAGGGUAAGGAGACACCCUACAGAGAGAAGGCCACUGUACCUGAAGGAGUUCAAGGAUGCUGUUCAUGCAGGAGUGGUUCUGGAUGUCAAGAACAAUAUGGAUCUGAUAUGGUGGUACCUCUGUACAGCAAAGUGGGUGAUCAAUGAUCGAAGCUGUGACAGAGAUCAAGUGGAUGUUAAUUUGUUUUAAACAGUGGAAGUAAAACCAAGUCUGGAACUCUGUCAUUGUGCUCUGACUAUGUUGUUGGCUUUGGCAAAUUUGUGACACAAGGGGGAGCAAUAACCACAUACCCCUGACAAACAGAGUGGGUCUCUACAACAGACUCUCAUGACAAUCUGAGAUUCCCCCCUGCAGCUGAUGUUGAAGUUUAGGUGCAAUUUAAUAUGUGUGGUGUGCUUGCGAAGUUUUAUUUAACUUCCAUGUGUGUGAGUGGUGCUGCCACUCUGAGUGUAUUAGCCAGUAGUAUUCGCUGCGCAUGAACUUUAUGGGUCAAAGUGUUUUAUCAAUCAUUAUUCAAGUUUGUAUGCCAUGAGCCUUAAGUAACAAAGAAUGAUAGAGUGGAGCAUUCUUAUCAUUGUCUAGGAUAUCCUUGGGUACGAGACGAAUGACCCAGUUGCUGCAGGUAUUCACAUUUAUAUCAUAAUUUAAUAAUGAUUGAUAAAGUUCACUACUCUAAAGGAGAAAAGGAUUCUUCCUCAACAACUUUAAAGUUAUGAGAAAUCACAUCCUGAGCCUUAAUUAGUAAAGAAUGAAUGAGAGUAGAGAUCCGAUUAACUUAUUCUGAAUAUCUUUGGGUCAAGACAAUGUACCCAGUUGUUCAUUGUAUUCACCUUUACUCAUUAGACUUUAGCAUGGUUCAUAUUAAAUGAUUUUCGAGUCCUUCAUCUUUCAUUUAUAUAAUCAUUUCUCUUGCCUCAGUUUCUUGCAGUCUUUGUUCCGGCCGUAGUGAGCAAUUACGGAGCUCUGACUUUCUCAUUGAACAAUAAGAACCGUAGGCAGAGAGAUUUCCGCGAGCUACCCUAUUUAUGAUCCUAUCAUAUUAUUAUCCUUAUCAAUGAAUACAUAAUAUAUAGAGAACUUAUGCCCUUGGUCAUGAUAUACCUUUUAGGGUGAACAAUUACUUGUGUUAUUUACUGCACUUACUGUUAAGUUCUGCAUAAUCCCUGUCUGUGCAGAAUUGGAUGUCAUAACAACCAGUGUGACAUCCAAAGUCUGAUAACUAGAAUUUCAAUUUCCAUAUAUACCCUUUUAGGAUACUUGUCCACCUUUGUACCAAGAGAUGUUUGACUUGAUGUCAAACACUUAAUUCAUUAUUUUCAUCCAUACCAUAUAUAGUGAUAUGAUGCCUAUGGCCCCCAACACAUUAGUUAAUGCUACCUUUCCUCUUAGGUUACAAAUUCCAUUUAUCUUAUGGAUUCCAACAAUCCCCUUACUUUUGGUUCUAAACCAUACAAUUCAGUCACUUAUACCAAAUCCUUCAAUUUUUUGACUUUGGGUAUUUUUCUCCAUCAAUCCAUUCACUCCAUGGACCACUAUUCACUACAUUCAUUCAAUAUCUUCUACCUUCAUUCACUUCAUGUGAUAUACUCAUUCUUUGAUCCAAAUACACUAUUUCUUUAAGCUCCAUUUAGUGUCUACUUGUGAACCGAGAAAUGUUUGCCUUGAUGCCAAACACUUAAUUCUCUUUGUUUUCGGCAGUACCGUAUAUAGUGGUAUGAUGCCUAUGGCCCCCCACAUAUAAGUUAAUUCCAGUUUUCAUCUUGGGUUCAUAUUUCAUCCCUUUUUGGAGUCCGACCACAUUAUCCUUUAGUUCAGACCAUACCUUUAUCAUAAUUUGUUUCACCUCCCACCAUUAGUUCUAUGAACUACGGAGCUCUGAAUUCCUUCUUGCACUAUAAGAAUACAUAGGCAUGAGGGCCCUAAUCCUCUCCGAGCACUUUAUUUAUUCCAUUAUUUUCCCCCUUAUUCUUUCAUGAGUAAUCCUUAGAUAUAACACCCAUUAGAGCUUAGAACAAUCAAAACGGUUCCUGUUGAGUACAACUGAUGCGAAGGGUGCUAAUACCUUCCCAUUGCAUAACCGACUUCCUUACUCAAUCAUCUCUUUCCCCUGGGUUUUAUAGAUGUUUUCCCUUUUCUUCGGGAAUAAAUAAAGUUCGAUGACGACUCUGUUGUAUGUUCAAAAAUGUGAUGCGUUCGGGUAUAUUUCUGCUAGCUUCACAAGGGCAUCGCAUGCUCGCGGAUGACUAAAAUAUUUGCCACUGAACUUUAUUUAUUACUAAAAAGGGAAAAGUAAAAUAUCGAUAAAACUCCUAAAGAACGACUAAGAUAUGGUCAUCACAACCAAAUCUGGUUCAAGAGUCGAUUAUGCAAAGGGAAGAUAUUAGCACCUUUCACUUCCAUUGUACUCAAUGGGAACCAUUUAGUUAGUUUUGCACAUAAGUAUUAGCUUAAAUAAUGUCUGCUUUCCUCGAGUUAUAAAAAAAAUCAAAGAGAAAAAGAAAAUGGUCGUAAAAAAGAUUUUUAUUAAGGUGCCUAACGAGACUUUGAAUCUCGCUCCUACGUAUCUCCGGGUGAAAUGGAGAACUCAAGGCUACAUAGUUCUGGGUAGAAAAUGUUUGUUUGUGGGUCAAUUUUAGCGAAAGUUGUUAUUGUCGUAAUCGAACGAAAAAUAUUGCUUACCCAAAACAGUUAGAGGAGAGGUCGUUUGAAUCAUAACAUAAUGGAUUUCUAUAUGGACAUUCGUGGAAAAACGUCGCUUAGCUAACUCACACAUUUGUAGAGGAGGCGUUGUUUUGCAUCGUCUCAAGACAAAACAUCUUUUAUUUAAAAAUGAGUUUGAAACUGAAAGCCAAAAGGUAAAAGUUUGGAUGUGUUGGAUAUUUUUUAGACGAAUGACGAAUGCUCGGUAGGAGAAAGAAGUAUGCCUUAAGGACGAUUAAUUGAGGUUGUAAGGAGCAUGUACCCCUAGGUACCUUUUUCAUUCAAAGUGUUUAUGAAAAUUAUUUGUGGAAGACGAACGUUUGGUAAGACCAAGACGUAUGCCUCGGGGCCGAUUGUUCGGGGGGACCAAGACGUAUACCUUUUUCAUUCAAAGUUUUUUAUUUUAUUUUAGAAAGGUUAAUUUAUUUUUGAUCAACUAUUUAAUUAAUUAAUUCUAACUAACUAAAGGAAAAAAUAAAAGCAAACAAAUAAAUAAAAAUACAAUCAAAGGGAUGGGGAUACAUUUGUCAUUUGAGAAAUAAUGCAAAUAAGAAAAGAAUAAAGAAAAUAAGAAAUAAAACAAUAUAAACAAAUAAAGUAAGAUAAAUAAUCAAAAUAUAGAAAAUGGUGGUGCUAUUUAGUUUUUGGCGUUUUUUAUGGUUUAAUUAAAAAAAAUAUUAUUAAUUACAAAAUAAGAGAAAAGAUUAAUUAGAUUUUUUGUCUUUAUUUUUGAAUAAGUUUACUUUAAUUUUAAUAUUUAAUUAAGCUAAAGUGUAAAAGAUAUCACAAAAUAAUAGUAUGAAAAGAAAUUGUAAUAAAAUGAAAUAAAAUAGCAAAAAUAAAAACUAAAAAAGAAAAAAAAACAAUGGGCCAAAAGUAAGCCCACAAAGAAACAAAAGGAAAUGAUGUGCUAAAAACAUGCCCAAGGGGCGUAGGGAGCAAGGGCGUAGGCCCAAGUCCAAGAUCAAGCUCACCUAGGAGUAUACUAUGUUGACUUAACCAGGGGCACAAGAUCAUAAUACUUCUAGUCAAAUAGAAUCCCAUGGGAAGGAGCAUCCAUCCAUACUGAUUAUGCUGGGGACUCCCACAUGGGAGACCUUGUUGUCUGGGUCUAGUCAACAAGCCCAAGGGCCAGCAGAAGGCCACUUGGCACACAUGCAUGGACAGAUGGAGGGACUAUGUAAACGUGCCUGAGAGAGAGAGAGAAUUCAUUUUUCCAAAAUUUUCUCUCUCUUUCAUGCCUCUCUCUCUCUCUCUCUCUCUCUCUCUCUCUCUCUCUCUCUCUCUCUCUCUCAUGAGAGAGAGAGAGAAUUCAUUUUUCCAAAAUUUUCUCUCUCUUUCAUGCCUCUCUCUCUCUCUCUCUCUCUCUCUCUCUCUCUCUCUCUCUCUCUCUCUCAAGAACAAACCACCGACCCACCCUGAGAACCACCACCAUUCACCCUGAGAACCUCACUCAAACCCAGUUUUUGGUUGAGCUUCAAUUGGAAACUUCAACAAAAACCUAAAAUUUUCCAAAAACUGGUCAAACCACAUCCAAUCCAAAAUCUUCCAACAUGAACCCCCCCUCUAAAUCUUCUUCUAAACAUGAACCCUAAACUAAAAUCCUCAAAAGCUUAACAAAAUCAACAGAUCAAAACUUCUUAAACUCUGAAGCCCUAAGUUCCUAACACCUAAAAUCCAACCAAAUUUGAUCCAAUCUCUCAUCUAAACAUUAAUUCAACACCAAAACCAACAAGAUCAAACAUCAAUAGUAAGAAAUUAAACAAAGUAGACGAAUUAAAGCAAAAAAACACUCAAUAUGGUUCGAAAGUAACAACAACAAGCAUAACGUCUAUAACAAAUAAGGAAAGCAAACAAAAAAUGUAAACAUGAAGGGAUCAAGAGGUUUACCAAAUGGAUGUUAUCGAUGUGAAGUCCACACAUGUAAGUUCCUUUUUCUUUUCUCCGCUUCAUUUCAUUACUGAUCGUGUCCACCCAUUCUACCCCUUCUAUCUAUGUAUAUGCCUACCUACUUCUGUUUGUGUUUAUUACUCUAUUGUUGUUGUGUUGUUUGUUGUCAACGGUUUGGUGGUGGUUUAUCUCACCUUAAUAAGAUUUUAAUGCGAGGCUCUUAUAAGGUUUAGGUAUGAAAUUUUAGUGAGACUAGGAGGUUUCGGAAUUUAAAAAAUUGUUGUGCUUUGAGUAGCUGGGGUUGUUAGGGUUUUUAUGUUAUCAGUGUGAACUUUCUUGUGUCUUAAUAGGAUUUCAGAAGUUUUUGGUGUAUGUAAAUGAGUGAGAAUGAUAUUCAUUUUAUAGCAGUGAGGGAGUGAGAAAUUGGUAUGUGGGAGUGACGAAUAUGAGGAAGAUAGUUCUUCCUCAAGCAUGCGAAUUGAGAGUCGAUAGGAUCAAACAUAAUUAUUUGUGAUGAGUUAUGAAAAUGGUGUGUGUAAAAUAUCCCACAAAGUGUGGGAUUUUGGUGAGUGGGAGAGAUAUUUCGUGAGACCAUGUGCUCGAGCUUUGUGAACUUUCGAAUUUGUCUUUAUUGGAU